GACAGAGGAUGCAAACGUUGUUCGGAAUUACUGGGCGUAAAGCGAGUGUAGGCGGUUUCCUAAGUCAGGUGUGAAAGCCCCGGGCUCAACCCGGGAAGUGCACUUGAAACUGGGAGGCUAGAGUAUCGGAGAGGUUGGUGGAAUUCUCGGUGUAGAGGUGAAAUUCGUAGAUAUCGAGAGGAACACCGGUGGCGAAGGCGGCCAACUGGACGAAUACUGACGCUGAGACUCGAAAGCGUGGGGAGCAAACAGG
This 253-nucleotide ribosomal RNA is filed under the name uncultured bacterium. RNAcentral's name for it is "partial 16S ribosomal RNA". It matches the Rfam family "Bacterial small subunit ribosomal RNA", at positions 524 to 776 of the family's 1533-position model. The record is from RNAcentral.